UACGUAGGUGGCAAGCGUUUGUCCGGAAUUAUUGGGCGUAAAGCGCGCGCAGGUGGUUUCUUAAGUCUGAUGUGAAAGCCCACGGCUCAACCGUGGAGGGUCAUUGGAAACUGGGGAACUUGAGUGCAGAAGAGGAAAGUGGAAUUCCAAGUGUAGCGGUGAAAUGCGUAGAGAUUUGGAGGAACACCAGUGGCGAAGGCGACUUUCUGGUCUGUAACUGACACUGAGGCGCGAAAGCGUGGGGAGCGAACAGG
This 254-nucleotide ribosomal RNA is filed under the name uncultured bacterium. RNAcentral's name for it is "partial 16S ribosomal RNA". It matches the Rfam family "Bacterial small subunit ribosomal RNA", at positions 524 to 776 of the family's 1533-position model. The record is from RNAcentral.